UACAGAGGUCUCAAGCGUUGUUCGGAUUCAUUGGGCGUAAAGGGUGCGUAGGUGGCGCUGUAAGUCGGGUGUGAAAUUUCGGAGCUCAACUCCGAAACUGCAUUCGAUACUGCGGUGCUUGAGGACUGGAGAGGAGACUGGAAUUCAUGGUGUAGCAGUGAAAUGCGUAGAGAUCAUGAGGAAGACCAGUGGCGAAGGCGGGUCUCUGGACAGUUCCUGACGCUGAGGGACGAAAGCUAGGGGAGCAAACGGG
RNAcentral lists this ribosomal RNA (253 nucleotides) under uncultured bacterium. RNAcentral describes it as "partial 16S ribosomal RNA". It matches the Rfam family "Bacterial small subunit ribosomal RNA", at positions 524 to 776 of the family's 1533-position model. The record is from RNAcentral.